GAGUUUGAUCAUGGCUCAGGAUGAACGCUAGCGGCAGGCUUAACACAUGCAAGUCGAGGGGUAUUCUAGCAAUAGGAGAGACCGGCGCACGGGUGCGUAACGCGUAUGCAAUCUACCUUUCACAGAGGGAUAGCCCAGAGAAAUUUGGAUUAAUACCUCAUAGUAUAAUGACUCGGCAUCGAGAUAUUAUUAAAGUCACAACGGUGAAAGAUGAGCAUGCGUCCCAUUAGCUAGUUGGUAAGGUAACGGCUUACCAAGGCGACGAUGGGUAGGGGUCCUGAGAGGGAGAUCCCCCACACUGGUACUGAGACACGGACCAGACUCCUACGGGAGGCAGCAGUGAGGAAUAUUGGACAAUGGGCGCAAGCCUGAUCCAGCCAUGCCGCGUGCAGGAUGACGGUCCUAUGGAUUGUAAACUGCUUUUGCACAGGAAGAAACACCCCCUCGUGAGGGGGCUUGACGGUACUGUGAGAAUAAGGAUCGGCUAACUCCGUGCCAGCAGCCGCGGUAAUAC
Molecule: ribosomal RNA, 514 nt
Filed under: uncultured bacterium
Lineage: Bacteria
Description: bacterial SSU rRNA
Rfam family: Bacterial small subunit ribosomal RNA
Source: RNAcentral